Molecule: ribosomal RNA, 253 nt
Filed under: uncultured bacterium
Lineage: Bacteria
Description: partial 16S ribosomal RNA
Rfam family: Bacterial small subunit ribosomal RNA
Source: RNAcentral
UACGUAGGGGGCAAGCGUUGUCCGGAAUUAUUGGGCGUAAAGAGCGCGUAGGCGGUCCGAUAAGUCGGCUGUGAAAGUCAGGGGCUCAACCCUUGGAAGCCGGCCGAUACUGUCGGACUAGAGUCCGGAAGAGGCGAGUGGAAUUCCCGGUGUAGCGGUGAAAUGCGCAGAUAUCGGGAGGAACACCAAUGGCGAAGGCAGCUCGCUGGGACGGUACUGACGCUGAGGCGCGAAAGCUAGGGGAGCAAACGGG